This 805-nucleotide ribosomal RNA is filed under the name uncultured bacterium. RNAcentral's name for it is "bacterial SSU rRNA". It matches the Rfam family "Bacterial small subunit ribosomal RNA", at positions 11 to 811 of the family's 1533-position model. The record is from RNAcentral.
GUUUGAUCCUGGCUCAGAUUGAACGCUGGCGGCAUGCUUUACACAUGCAAGUCGAACGGCAGCACGGGCUUCGGCCUGGUGGCGAGUGGCGAACGGGUGAGUAAUAUAUCGGAACGUGCCCAAGAGUGGGGGAUAACGUAGCGAAAGUUACGCUAAUACCGCAUACGAUCUAUGGAUGAAAGCAGGGGACCUUCGGGCCUUGUGCUCCUGGAGCGGCCGAUAUCUGAUUAGCUAGUUGGUGAGGUAAAGGCUCACCAAGGCGACGAUCAGUAGCUGGUCUGAGAGGACGACCAGCCACACUGGAACUGAGACACGGUCCAGACUCCUACGGGAGGCAGCAGUGGGGAAUUUUGGACAAUGGGGGCAACCCUGAUCCAGCAAUGCCGCGUGAGUGAAGAAGGCCUUCGGGUUGUAAAGCUCUUUUGUCAGGGAAGAAAAGGGUACGGCUAAUAUCCGUACCUCAUGACGGUACCUGAAGAAUAAGCACCGGCUAACUACGUGCCAGCAGCCGCGGUAAUACGUAGGGUGCAAGCGUUAAUCGGAAUUACUGGGCGUAAAGCGUGCGCAGGCGGUUUUGUAAGUCUGUCGUGAAAUCCCCGGGCUUAACCUGGGAAUGGCGAUGGAGACUGCAAGGCUGGAGUUUGGCAGAGGGGGGUAGAAUUCCACGUGUAGCAGUGAAAUGCGUAGAGAUGUGGAGGAACACCGAUGGCGAAGGCAGCCCCCUGGGUCAAGACUGACGCUCAUGCACGAAAGCGUGGGGAGCAAACAGGAUUAGAUACCCUGGUAGUCCACGCCCUAAACGAUG